Molecule: transfer RNA, 69 nt
Filed under: pig gut metagenome
Rfam family: tRNA
About the family: Transfer RNA (tRNA) molecules are approximately 80 nucleotides in length. Their secondary structure includes four short double-helical elements and three loops (D, anti-codon, and T loops).
Source: RNAcentral
CCUGUAGCUCAGUUGGAUAGAGCACCAGAUUCCGAUUCUGGGUGCCGCAGGUUCGAAUCCUGUUAGGUG